Molecule: non-coding RNA, 70 nt
Organism: Danionella cerebrum
Lineage: Eukaryota; Metazoa; Chordata; Actinopteri; Cypriniformes; Danionidae
Source: the annotation of a GenBank genome assembly
UUUCCUGUGGCUCAGUUAGAAGGGCAUUACGUUAACAACGCAAAGGUCGCGGAUUCAAAUCCUAGGGAAA